GGCCUCUUUUAAUUUUUUGGAUUCGAGCGUCACUGAUGAGUCUUUUGUAGACGAAACGCGCGUCUGGCGUAUAUUAAGAUUUAGUCCUGGUAUCUAUGAGUUUAUUUAUAACCACUGGGUCGAUGCCACUGCUGGUGGAGAUUUAUUUCCCCGAGGGUAUUACAAGCCCAGUAGUCAGCACUGUUUUUGUGCUGACAUGAAUUAACAUUGAACUUGUUAUAUUUAUAAAUUAACUGUUUACAAAAUUUAGAAUUUUUUGAAAUACUAAGGCUUUUCUACCUCAGGCAUAGAUUACCUUAGCAAAACUUUUAUGAAUUUUGGUCCUCAAUGCUCUUCAACAUCGUACAUUAUUUGGCCUCUUUUACUUUUUUGGAUUCGAGCGUCACUGAUGAGUCUUUUGUAAACGAAACGCGCGUCUGGCGUAUAUAUAAGAUUUAGUCCUGGUAUCUAUGAGUUUAUUUAUAACCACUGGGUCGAUGCCACUGCUGGUGGAGAUUUAUUUCCCCGAGGGUAUUACAAGCCCAGUAGUCAGCACUGUUUUUGUGCUGACAUGAAUUAUCAUUGAACUUGUUAUAUUUAUAAAUUAACUGUUUACAAAAUUUAGAAUUUUUUGAAAUACUAAGGCUUUUCUACCUCAGGCAAAGAUUACCUUAGCAAAACUUUUAUGAAUUUUGGUCCUCAAUGCUCUUCAACAUCGUACAUUAUUUGGCCUCUUUUACUUUUUU
RNAcentral lists this long non-coding RNA (725 nucleotides) under Mytilus galloprovincialis (Mediterranean mussel). The record is from RNAcentral. Lineage: Eukaryota; Metazoa; Mollusca; Bivalvia; Mytilida; Mytilidae.